CGAUUCGGUAGUUAUCCAAGCUACGCACAUGCCACGCAAAUGUUAUGACUCGUUUAAUCGAGAUAUAUCCGUAGGAAUUAGAGGACGCUUUUCUCUGAUGCAAUCGAUAAAUCGAUACAUCUCUUACAAAAUUCUCGUUUCAGGAUCAAUUUGACAUAAUGUCCAUUAGAUUUAUUCUCACGUUGUCAAUCUAUUUAGCCGAAGCAGAUAUGCCGACGAUUAAAUUAGAAGGAAAAUUACGAAUCCGUAAAUUAUCGAACGCUUUCCCAAGGUGGGCACGUUUGAGCGAGACUCUUGCGUUAUUGACAUUGCUUUUACUCGACACUCAAAAGUAAACGGUUUGAAUAGCGAGUGGAUGUGUACACGCGUAUAAAUAAGUAACCAAAGAAUGUCCGUAUUUUUGUAUGUAAUGCAAUAAAAUAUUUGGCAAAUCGG
Long non-coding RNA from Bombus huntii, 435 nucleotides. RefSeq lists it as uncharacterized. NCBI's taxonomy places the organism in Eukaryota, Metazoa, Arthropoda, Insecta, Hymenoptera, Apidae. The record is from RefSeq and is a predicted model, not a curated record. The transcript has 2 exons.